RNAcentral lists this transfer RNA (96 nucleotides) under Marasmius sp. AFHP31. RNAcentral's name for it is "tRNA-Gly". It matches the Rfam family "tRNA". From Rfam's summary of the family: Transfer RNA (tRNA) molecules are approximately 80 nucleotides in length. Their secondary structure includes four short double-helical elements and three loops (D, anti-codon, and T loops). Further hydrogen bonds mediate the characteristic L-shaped molecular structure. tRNAs have two regions of fundamental functional importance: the anti-codon, which is responsible for specific mRNA codon recognition, and the 3' end, to which the tRNAs corresponding amino acid is attached (by aminoacyl-tRNA synthetases). tRNAs cope with the degeneracy of the genetic code in two manners: having more than one tRNA (with a specific anti-codon) for a particular amino acid; and 'wobble' base-pairing, i.e. permitting non-standard base-pairing at the 3rd anti-codon position. The record is from RNAcentral. Lineage: Eukaryota; Fungi; Basidiomycota; Agaricomycetes; Agaricales; Marasmiaceae.
GCAUCAAUGGGGUAGUGGUAACCUGGGUCGUUGCCAUAGGUUGUGCGGUACAGUUACGAUUUCGACCCGCCGGGGGUUCGAUUCCCUCUUGAUGCA